Molecule: long non-coding RNA, 998 nt
Filed under: Cyanistes caeruleus (blue tit)
Lineage: Eukaryota; Metazoa; Chordata; Aves; Passeriformes; Paridae
Description: lncRNA (ENSCCEG00000014070.1)
Source: RNAcentral
UUUCCAUCUGCUCAGCAAAUAGAGUUCCUUGCUAAUGGACAUUGUCAAGGGGAAGAGAAACUACUUUAAUGUGUAAAUCUGACAAAGGUCAGCUUAUGUUCCAUGGCAGCUCCAGCCAUACAGACACCCGGUGCUAAGUGGAUAGUCCUUGGCUCUUGGCAGUGAGUUGUGAGCUACAGACAGCUACAGACGGAGCACAGGAUUAAAAUGAGCUGAACUUCAGUGUUCUGACACAGGAAUUUGAGACCGAAGGCUUGUUCCUGCUGAGUUGAGUCUGCCAAGGAAGGCACAGGCUCAAGGAGCUGCUAUGGGAGAUGCUCUACUGGUCCAGUUUGAGGGGAAGCACAGGCAUCGUGUGCUGGAGCUGCUCUGUCUGCAAUGCCCAUCCACCUGCCUCCCAGUGCGGCCUGGCAGGGGCUGAUGGCAAGUUAGAGAAGCUGCUGGUGACACUGGAGAGCUGGGAGCAAGGCUGGCUGCAUGGUCAUUUCGUUAGACAGCACUCAUUUGGGGGUGAUGAACUUUUGGAGCUCACAGGCCGGCAGGUUUUACAUAUGUUACACGAUUUGCACCAAUCAAUACAGAACGUGGACACGUGCUCACAUCUGGAACACAUGAGCCAUGAAGGCAGGGACUGAAUGGAGAUCUUGCAAGCACCCUGGCACUGUCUGGAUUUCAGGGUAAAAACAUAUUUUUAAUUUUUUUUUUUUAAUGAGCUGUUAGAUUUCUGAAGCACAGAGUGGCAGUGCCCAUUUCAAUGUACAACUCCUGCAGGAUGCAGCUCUACCACAGAGCAAAGCUGGAAGCUGCUUCCCUCAGCUGGCUGGCCAAGAAGGAAAACUCCAAAUUCCAUGUGAAUGUAGCACAGGACAAGGAUCACAACGCUGGAUCAAGGAUCUGCCUCUGCUCACAGCACUGCCAAGGACAUGGCAAUGCAUUUUAAUUCUGGCUAUGGAAGUAGGGAAAAUAAAGCUUUACCAAAAAGAAAAAAAUUAUUUCUU